RNAcentral lists this unclassified non-coding RNA (334 nucleotides) under soil metagenome. RNAcentral's name for it is "partial contains 5.8S ribosomal RNA, internal transcribed spacer 2, and large subunit ribosomal RNA". The stretch from base 1 to 120 matches the Rfam family "5.8S ribosomal RNA", at positions 35 to 154 of the family's 154-position model. The record is from RNAcentral.
GAUGAAGAACGCAGCGAAAUGCGAUAAGUAAUGUGAAUUGCAGAAUUCAGUGAAUCAUCGAAUCUUUGAACGCACAUUGCGCCCCCCAGUAUUCUGGCGGGCAUGCCUGUUCGAGCGUCAUUUCAACCAUCAAGCCCUGCUUGUGUUGGGGUCCUGCGGCUGCCCGCAGGCCCUGAAAACCAGUGGCGGGCUCGCUAGUCACACCGAGCGCAGUAGCACAUCUCGCUCAGGGCGUGCGGCGGGCUCCAGCCGUUAAAGCACCCACCUUUCGCAAGGUCGACCUCGGAUCAGGUAGGAAUACCCGCUGAACUUAAGCAUAUCAAUAAGCGGAGGA